GAGGGGGGAAAGGACCCAAUACAUAGAAAAUACCAAUUUGAUUUCCUGUUUCUUUUUAACCAUCUGUAUAUGUAAGGCACAAUCAGCCUUUUGACUUCUCACAGAGCUUCUGGAAUGAAAACAAAUGGACAUGAUGAGACAUGGAAAGAAAAUAAUAUAUGUGCACUGACCUAACUUGUUUCGGUUGGAAAGCAGAGUGGCUGUGCAGUGAAGGACAUGUGGUAAGGCA
This is a long non-coding RNA of Pantherophis guttatus, 229 nucleotides long. RefSeq lists it as uncharacterized. The record is from RefSeq and is a predicted model, not a curated record. NCBI's taxonomy places the organism in Eukaryota, Metazoa, Chordata, Lepidosauria, Squamata, Colubridae.